This is a ribosomal RNA of Gorilla gorilla gorilla (western lowland gorilla), 99 nucleotides long. The record is from Ensembl. Lineage: Eukaryota; Metazoa; Chordata; Mammalia; Primates; Hominidae.
GUCUAUGGCCUUACCAUCCUGAAUAUGCCUGAUCUCGGAAGCUAAGCAGGGUUGGUUUGGUUAGUAUGUGGAUGGGAGAAGAGAUAACUAGCUGAGACU